AUUGUUACUGUGGAAUGAUUUUCUUGC
RNAcentral lists this non-coding RNA (27 nucleotides) under Cricetulus griseus (Chinese hamster). Lineage: Eukaryota; Metazoa; Chordata; Mammalia; Rodentia; Cricetidae. The record is from RNAcentral.